CUUCCACCAAACCACCAGAGCCUGUCACAAUGAUUCCUGGGGCAAGUUAAAGAAACAAGCUGGCAAAAUGGAUAGAUGGUCCACAGCUCAAAGAGCCAUGUGCGGCAUGUACAGCAGAUAAUAAUUAAUAAUUGACGAUAGCCUUAUUCCACAAGCAAUUGACGAAACUACAACUAGAAACAGAAGGGCUGCUGCUGCUAGCUGGAAUUUGAUUGUGGAAGAAGAAGAUAUAGCUCAAAAAGGAAGAAAGCAACGGCUCUUUU
Molecule: long non-coding RNA, 263 nt
Filed under: Populus tremula
Lineage: Eukaryota; Viridiplantae; Streptophyta; Magnoliopsida; Malpighiales; Salicaceae
Description: long non-coding RNA (PTRE_LNC002871)
Source: RNAcentral